RNAcentral lists this ribosomal RNA (89 nucleotides) under Latilactobacillus sakei. The record is from RNAcentral. Lineage: Bacteria; Bacillati; Bacillota; Bacilli; Lactobacillales; Lactobacillaceae.
CUGUUCCCAUGUCGAACACAGUAGUUAAGCUUCUUAGCGCCGAUAGUAGUUGGUGGGAAACUACCUGCGAGGAUAGGACGUUGCCACGC